Non-coding RNA from Kogia breviceps (pygmy sperm whale), 1695 nucleotides. NCBI's taxonomy places the organism in Eukaryota, Metazoa, Chordata, Mammalia, Artiodactyla, Physeteridae. The record is from RefSeq and is a predicted model, not a curated record.
GGCUGCACCCCAGAGAGGGUCAGGAGCCUUUUCAAAGUCUUCUGCUCACUGUAGCUCAGCAAGCCCUGAGCCCCGUGGCCUGGGAUUGUCUGAGAGCAGAAGAAGAUUCUGGGAAACUUGGCUGGCCUUCUAUGUAAUUCUCACGGACAUCCAUUGUUGUCGUAGGGACCCCGUCACUCCCCAGCCCAGCCCACUCCUAGCCCCUCAGCCCCUGACAGAAGGAUCUGCUAGGCGCAUUGUGUUUCUCUUGGACUUCAGGGGACAAUAUUCUCCAUUUUGUAAACUGUACAUAACAGGUCGACCUGUCCUGCUCACCCAACAGGGACAAGCAUUAAUGGAAUCUGCAUUGUUUAUUACUUUUAAAAAUUAUAGUUCAGGUAUUUGGUAAGUUUGUAUUUGUAGGAUAAAGAGAGAGAUGCUUAAAAGCUCAGAUCUUGAAAACAAAAAGGCAAAGAACUCUGGGUACUUUCGUUUCAAUUGCCCAAGAUCCCUUUCCAGCCCCUGAUUCCAUAGAUUUUCCUAAUUUGCAGGAUUGUUUUAGCUCACAGACCCAGGAUCCUCGUAUCUCCUGGAGCCUCACAUGCUCGGUUAUGCUUGGCUGUUUGUCUUCAUUUUAGAUAAUCAAGAAUAGCUGUCAAAUUGAGUAGUGAGGGUGGUAGAAUAUUCCAUUCUCAGCAAGAUAUAUUUAGAAGGCUCUACCACUGAAAGCAACAGCAGGGACUUCCCUUGUGGCACAGUGGUUAAGAAUCCGCCUGCCAAUGCAGGGAACAUGGAUUCGAUCCCUGCUCUGGGAAGAUCCCACAUACCGCAGAGCAGCUAAGCCCGUGCUCCACAACUACUGAGCCUGCACCCUAGAGCCCACGAGACACAACUACUGAGCCUGUGUACCACAACUACUGAAGCCUACGCACUCUGGGGCCUGCGUGCUGCGACUACUGAGCUCGCGUGCUGUAACUACGGAAGUUUGCGCACCUAGAGCCUGUGCUCUGCAACAAGAGAAGCCACCGCUGGGCAAAACUGAAAUCUGUAAGGAAGGUCAUUAAAAAGGGCAGGUGGAAUUCAGGGGCAUGGAUGGACGCUACUCUGUCUACAGGUAGAAUUUCUUCUUCCCCAGGAAGCCUCAGCUCUGCAUUUGAGGCUUUUCGAGCAAUUGACUCAGGCCCACCCAGAUUAUCUAGGAUAAUCUAUCAUACUUAAAGUCCACUGAUUAUGGACUUUAAUCACAUCUAUAAAAUGUCUUCACUGCAACACCUAGGUUAGUGUUUGAUUGAAUAAGUGGAGACUAUAAUUCAAGCUGACAGGUAAAAAAGUAAUCACAACAGAGUGUGCCUGUUGGCCUCAGUCUAAGACAUGUCCAUGGAGUCCUCCUGAGAAGUCUGGACCAGUAGGUGAGGUAGCAGCUGGGGCAUCUGAGGGAUGUGUCCUCCUGCGAUGGGUGAAUAGAGGGGCCCAGCACAGAUUACCCAGCACCACCCCGGCUAUGCACCAGAUGGGACUUUACACCAUGGGACCCCAGGAUGUCCAGAGCAUCAGAGCUGGGUGAGCCUUUAGACACUCUUAGUCAAACUCUCAUUGUCCACUGAGAGAACUGGGGCCCAUAUCAGUGAAACAGCCAAGACCAGCGCGAAGAAGAACCAAGAUCUCCGGCAAGAAUGGGGAAAGGAAUUAGAAGACUGAGAGGAUGGAGAAGCAAGG